ACUCAAAUAGCUUAAGAAGAGCGUUAUGUUGAAGCCAUAGGAGUGGCAGUUUGCCUUUGAGUG
RNAcentral lists this transfer RNA (63 nucleotides) under Acanthephyra smithi. RNAcentral's name for it is "tRNA-Phe". Lineage: Eukaryota; Metazoa; Arthropoda; Malacostraca; Decapoda; Oplophoridae. The record is from RNAcentral.